RNAcentral lists this ribosomal RNA (484 nucleotides) under uncultured bacterium. RNAcentral's name for it is "partial 16S ribosomal RNA". It matches the Rfam family "Bacterial small subunit ribosomal RNA", at positions 30 to 507 of the family's 1533-position model. The record is from RNAcentral.
AUUGAACGCUGGCGGAAUGCUUUACACAUGCAAGUCGAGCGGCAGCACGGGGGUAACCCUGGUGGCGAGCGGCGAACGGGUGAGUAAUACAUCGGAACAUGCCCAGUCGUGGGGGAUAACACUUCGAAAGAAGUGCUAAUACCGAAUCCGUCCUUAGGUAGAAAGCGGGGGAUCGCAAGACCACGCCGGAUUGGCUGGCCCGAUGUCAUAUUAGCUAGUUGGUGGGGUAAAGGCCUACCAAGGCAACGAUCUGUAGCUGGUCUGAGAGGAUGAUCAGCCACACUGGGACUGAGACACGGCCCAGACUCCUACGGGAGGCAGCAGUGGGGAAUUUUGGACAAUGGGGGCAAGCCUGAUGCAGCCACGCCGCGUGAGUGAAGAAGGUCUUCGGGUUGUAAAGCUCUUUCGGCAGGAAAGAAACGGUGAGCUCUAACAUAGCUUGCUAAUGACGGUACCUGAAGAAGAAGCACCGGCUAACUACGUG